GGGCCGUUGGCGCAGCGGUAGCGCGCUUCCCUGACACGGAAGAGGUCACUGGUUCGAUCCCAGUACGGCCCA
This 72-nucleotide transfer RNA is filed under the name Scrofimicrobium sp. RNAcentral's name for it is "tRNA-Val". It matches the Rfam family "tRNA". From Rfam's summary of the family: Transfer RNA (tRNA) molecules are approximately 80 nucleotides in length. Their secondary structure includes four short double-helical elements and three loops (D, anti-codon, and T loops). Further hydrogen bonds mediate the characteristic L-shaped molecular structure. tRNAs have two regions of fundamental functional importance: the anti-codon, which is responsible for specific mRNA codon recognition, and the 3' end, to which the tRNAs corresponding amino acid is attached (by aminoacyl-tRNA synthetases). tRNAs cope with the degeneracy of the genetic code in two manners: having more than one tRNA (with a specific anti-codon) for a particular amino acid; and 'wobble' base-pairing, i.e. permitting non-standard base-pairing at the 3rd anti-codon position. The record is from RNAcentral. Lineage: Bacteria; Bacillati; Actinomycetota; Actinomycetes; Actinomycetales; Actinomycetaceae. RNAcentral also lists the same sequence under 1 other name.